This 659-nucleotide ribosomal RNA is filed under the name uncultured fungus. RNAcentral describes it as "LSU rRNA". It matches the Rfam family "Eukaryotic large subunit ribosomal RNA", at positions 23 to 664 of the family's 3401-position model. The record is from RNAcentral. Lineage: Eukaryota; Fungi.
ACCCGCUGAACUUAAGCAUAUCAAUAAGCGGAGGAAAAGAAACUAACAAGGAUUCCCCUAGUAACUGCGAGUGAAGCGGGAAAAGCUCAAAUUUAAAAUCUGGCGGUUUCUGGCCGUCCGAGUUGUAAUCUAGAGAAGUGCUGCCCGUGCUGGACCGUGUACAAGUCUCCUGGGAUGGAGCGUCAUAGAGGGUGAGAAUCCCGUCUCUGACACGGACUACCAGUGCUUUGUGGUACGCUCUCAAAGAGUCGAGUUGUUUGGGAAUGCAGCUCAAAAUGGGUGGUAAAUUCCAUCUAAAGCUAAAUAUUGGCGAGAGACCGAUAGCGAACAAGUACCGUGAGGGAAAGAUGAAAAGAACUUUGGAAAGAGAGUUAAACAGUACGUGAAAUUGCUGAAAGGGAAACGCUUGAAGUCAGUCGCAUUAGCCAGGGAUCAGCCUCGUUUCUCUGCGUGGUGUACUUUCUGGUUGAUGGGUCAGCAUCAAUUUUGACCGCUGGAAAAAGAUGGGGGGAAUGUGGCAGCUCCGGCUGUGUUAUAGCCCCUUGUCAUAUACAGUGGUUGGGAUUGAGGAACUCAGCACGCCGCAAGGCCGGGUUUCGACCACGUUCGUGCUUAGGAUGCUGGCAUAAUGGCUUUAAGCGACCCGUCUUGAAACACGG